This 492-nucleotide ribosomal RNA is filed under the name uncultured bacterium. RNAcentral describes it as "partial 16S ribosomal RNA". It matches the Rfam family "Bacterial small subunit ribosomal RNA", at positions 29 to 507 of the family's 1533-position model. The record is from RNAcentral.
AGUGAACGCUGGCGGUAGGCCUAACACAUGCAAGUCGAACGGCAGCACAGUAAGAGCUUGCUCUUACGGGUGGCGAGUGGCGGACGGGUGAGGAAUACAUCGGAAUCUACUUUUUCGUGGGGGAUAACGUAGGGAAACUUACGCUAAUACCGCAUACGACCUACGGGUGAAAGCAGGGGAUCUUCGGACCUUUCGCGAUUGAAUGAGCCGAUGUCGGAUUAGCUAGUUGGCGGGGUAAAGGCCCACCAAGGCGACGAUCCGUAGCUGGUCUGAGAGGAUGAUCAGCCACACUGGAACUGAGACACGGUCGAGACUCCUACGGGAGGCAGCAGUGGGGAAUAUUGGACAAUGGGCGCAAGCCUGAUCCAGCCAUACCGCGUGGGUGAAGAAGGACUUCGGGUUGUAAAGCCCUUUUGUUGGGAAAGAAAAGCAGCAGGUUAAUACCCCGCUGUUCUGACGGUACCCAAAGAAUAAGCACCGGCUAACUUCGUG